AGAAUCAACGCUGGCGGCGUGCCUCAGACAUGCAAGUCGAACGCGAAAGUCCCCUUCGGGGGACAAGUAGAGUGGCGCACGGGUGAGUAACACGUAGGUAAUCUACCUUCGGAUGGGGAAUAACAACCGGAAACGGUUGCUAAUACCGCAUAAUGCAGCGGCACCUAAUGGUGACAGUUGUUAAAGCGGGGGAUCGAAAGACCUCGCGUCUGAAGAGGAGCCUGCGGCGGAUUAACUAGUUGGUAAGGUAAUGGCUUACCAAGGCAACGA
RNAcentral lists this ribosomal RNA (270 nucleotides) under uncultured soil bacterium. RNAcentral describes it as "partial 16S ribosomal RNA". It matches the Rfam family "Bacterial small subunit ribosomal RNA", at positions 26 to 279 of the family's 1533-position model. The record is from RNAcentral.